CCUACGUGGGGCAGCAGUGAGGAAUAUUGGUCAAUGGGCGCGAGCCUGAACCAGCCAAGUAGCGUGAAGGAUGACUGCCCUACGGGUUGUAAACUUCUUUUAUAAAGGAAUAAAGUGAGGCACGUGUGCCUUUUUGUAUGUACUUUAUGAAUAAGGAUCGGCUAACUCCGUGCCAGCAGCCGCGGUAAUACGGAGGAUACGAGCGUUAUCCGGAUUUAUUGGGUUUAAAGGGAGCGUAGAUGGGUUGUUAAGUCAGUUGUGAAAGUUUGCGGCUCAACCGUAAAAUUGCAAGUGAUACUGGCAGUCUUGAGUACAGUUGAGGUAGGCGGAAUUCGUGGUGUAGCGGUGAAAUGCUUAGAUAUCACGAAGAACUCCGAUUGCGAAGGCAGCUUACUAAACUGCCACUGACAUUGAUGCUCGAAAGUGUGGGUAUCAAACAGGAUUAGAUACCCGAGUAGUC
RNAcentral lists this ribosomal RNA (460 nucleotides) under uncultured bacterium. RNAcentral describes it as "partial 16S ribosomal RNA". It matches the Rfam family "Bacterial small subunit ribosomal RNA", at positions 338 to 795 of the family's 1533-position model. The record is from RNAcentral.